This 63-nucleotide transfer RNA is filed under the name Atkinsoniella xanthonota. RNAcentral describes it as "tRNA-Cys". It matches the Rfam family "tRNA". From Rfam's summary of the family: Transfer RNA (tRNA) molecules are approximately 80 nucleotides in length. The record is from RNAcentral. Lineage: Eukaryota; Metazoa; Arthropoda; Insecta; Hemiptera; Cicadellidae.
AGUCUUAUAGUUUAAUAAAAACAUUAAAUUGCAAAUUUAAUAUUGAGCAACAAUCUAAGACUU